GCCUGUUCGAGCGUCAUUAUAACCAAUCAUGCCUGGCAUGGUGUUGGGGCACGCGGUCUCGCGGCCUCAAAAUUAGUGGCGGCGCCGGUAGGCUCUAAGCGUAGUAAUUUCUCUCGCUAUAGGGUCCUGACGGUUGCUCGCCAGAACCCCCACUUCUUAAGGUUGACCUCGGAUCAGGUAGGGAUACCCGCUGAACUUAA
This 200-nucleotide unclassified non-coding RNA is filed under the name soil metagenome. RNAcentral describes it as "partial contains internal transcribed spacer 2 and large subunit ribosomal RNA". The record is from RNAcentral.